AUAUCCUUUUCAUUUCUAAAAAUACACAUCAAGAUUAAGCGUUUUUGCUCUAUAAAAUCUCAGUUGUUAUAUUAAGUCGGAAGAAUCAUUGAGUCGAUCGGUUCACAGUAAAUUAAAGUAGCUUGCGAUCUGAAAGCGAUUUGCGAAUUUUGAUUGGAAAUACCAAAUUCAACGAUUAUGGUUACCGCAAAUGAAACAACCCAACCAGAUGCUGUACCAUCGAAUGUUACGGAGAAAUCUAAGCUACCAUUUUACCGCAAUUUUCUCACCUUUCCUGCCAUUUUAAAGACAGUCUGUUUGAUCUUUGAGUUUUCCGGUUUUAUCUGUGCACUGUGCGACAACGAAUAUUCGGGAUCCGUUAAAUUUUUUUACAUUAUUAUGAUAUUAAUUGCAUUUAUUUCGACGGUGCUAUGGUUUAUUUGGUAUUUUAUACAGCGCAAUCGUGAAUCUCCGUUGAUCUUCUUGUUGAAAGUUGAGAUGUAUUAUCAUGCAACGGGUUCACUCAUUCUAUUGCUGGCCGCAGUGUUGAUACUGAACCGUAAUAAAGUUUUAUUGGCUGCAUCUAUACUUGGCUUCAUAACAGCUGUUGGUUAUGUGAUCGAAACGCUGUUCAAUUAUUGGAAAUUAAAGCGAAUUUCACAAGGCAAUGGAGAAAACGAACUACUUCAAUCGUAGUUCCUACCAAUUUUCAUUCAUUCAUUUCA
Long non-coding RNA from Sitodiplosis mosellana (orange wheat blossom midge), 704 nucleotides. RefSeq lists it as uncharacterized. NCBI's taxonomy places the organism in Eukaryota, Metazoa, Arthropoda, Insecta, Diptera, Cecidomyiidae. The transcript is spliced from 4 exons. The record is from RefSeq and is a predicted model, not a curated record.